RNAcentral lists this transfer RNA (86 nucleotides) under Bacillus infantis NRRL B-14911. It matches the Rfam family "tRNA". From Rfam's summary of the family: Transfer RNA (tRNA) molecules are approximately 80 nucleotides in length. The record is from Rfam by way of RNAcentral. Lineage: Bacteria; Bacillati; Bacillota; Bacilli; Caryophanales; Bacillaceae.
GUGCCUGUAGCUCAAUGCAAAGAGCAGCCGGUUUUUACUACUGUGAAAAAUUGUGCAUUUUGCGGGUUGAAAUCCCGCCAGGUCCA